GCCCCUUAACCCAUGAAAAGUCCAGCCUGCCCAGUGAUUAAUUAAACGGCCGCGGUACCCUAACCGUGCAAAGGUAGCGCAAUCACCUGUUCUUUAAAUAAGGACUAGUAUGAAUGGCACCACGAGGGUUACACUGUCUCCCCCUUUUAAUCAGUGAAACUGAUCUUCCCGUGAAAAAGCGGGAAUACACAUAUAAGACGAGAAGACCCCAUGAAGCUUUAAAUUCAGAAUCAACUGCCUACAAUUACACCACUAUAAUCAGGCCGACCUGAUCUCUGAUUUUCGGUUGGGGCAACCACGGAGAAAAGCAAAUCCUCCAUGAUGAACGGAAUUUUUAUUCCUUAUCCACGAGCUACAACUCUAAGAAUCAAUAAUCUGACAAAAUUGACCCAAACUAUUUUGAUCAACGAACCAAGUUACUCUGGGGAUAACAGCGCAAUCUAUUUCAAGAGCCCAUAUCGACAAAUAGGUUUACGACCUCGAUGUUGGAUCGGGGCAUCCAAGUGGCGCAACCGCUACUAAUGGUUCGUUUGUUCAACGAUUAAAGCCCUACGUGAUCUGAGUUCAGACCGGAA
RNAcentral lists this ribosomal RNA (575 nucleotides) under Chaperina fusca (brown thorny frog). RNAcentral describes it as "partial 16S ribosomal RNA". It matches the Rfam family "Bacterial large subunit ribosomal RNA", at positions 1833 to 2621 of the family's 2925-position model. The record is from RNAcentral. Lineage: Eukaryota; Metazoa; Chordata; Amphibia; Anura; Microhylidae.